Molecule: long non-coding RNA, 1250 nt
Filed under: Homo sapiens (human)
Lineage: Eukaryota; Metazoa; Chordata; Mammalia; Primates; Hominidae
Description: HSALNT0143247
Source: RNAcentral
CGCGGGCCGGCUCCGGCGUGGGUGGGGCCAGGGGUCGCCUAGGAGGCGCUCUGGGGCCGGGAUCGGCGUCGGGGUCGGGGUUGGGGUUGGUUCACCGCAGCAGCCCCAGCUCCUGCGCCCUCCCUGGACUGAGGUGUGCUCGCUUUGAGGAGAAGCCUGGAGUGAUCCGCUGCCUCGGGUCGGAACGUUUCCAUUCAUUCCGCUAGCAUUUAUUGAGCGCUUAUGAUAUGUCAGUCCCCGGAGUCCGAAAGAGGAAUCAGACACAGCUUCCCUGCCCUGUAUGUUACAAGUCACUCUGCCUCUGUGGGGAGAAGGCAACUUCUUCAUGAACUCGAACAUCCUUUGCAAUUCUGUAUCAGAUACUUGGCAGGGUUUAAAAAAACAUGGCACCUCUUAUAACUUUUCACCCCCAAUAUUAUGUUUUAUCUGCUAAUAAAAUAAUUAUUUGGUAAAACACCCGCACAGGCGUUCACUUGACCCUCAAAACAACUUUGAUUUUUAAAAUGAGGAAAAUGAAAAUUAAAGAGGUUAAAUGGCUUGACUAAAUCACAGCUGUGAUUAAAUCGUAAUGAUGAAACCAAAAGUCAAAGUCCUGGUCUCCAAAUCUUGUGGUUCCCCAGUAUGCAUAAUUAUCAAUAACUGCCUUGCUUUCCAAUACUUUUAUUCUUUCUUCUACAAUAUUCCUCACUGUUACCAGUAAGUUUGGCUGUCUGAACUGACAUCAAAUUUAAAAGGACUGCAGAAAAGAGAAUCAGUUCAAUGUAUGGGAAAUCAUUUCCUGAAGAGAAUUCUUCAAUAAACUGCUUAUUGGUAUCUGUGAGUUCUGUUUUGUUAAAAUAAUAGAGGAGCAGCUGACUCUUUUAUUAUUUUUAAAUUUUUGUGACAGAGUCUCGCUCUGUGGCCCAGGCUGGAGUGCAGUGGCGCAAUCUCAGCUCACUGCAACCUCUGCCUCCUAGCUUCAAGCGAUUCUCAAGCCUCAGCCUCCCGGGUAGCUGGGACUAGAGGCACGUGCCACCAUGCCGGCUAAUUUUUGUAUUUUUAGUAGAGACAGUGUUUCACCAUGUUGGCGAGGCUGGUCUCAAACUCCUGACCUCAAGUGAUCCUCCCGCCUGAGCCUUCCAAAGUGCUAGGAUUACAGGCAUGAACCACCAAGCCCGGCCAACUGACUCUUACAGAUGGGAAUACAGUUAUCACCAGGAUGGCUGUUACCUGCUAACUCUGUACUCAAGAUUAUCAUAAAAGGAAUUUUU